AACUCUCGGCAACGAAUAUGUUAGCUUUCAUAUUCAUGAAGAACGUAGCGAAAUGCGAUACUUGGUGUGAAUUGCAGAAUCACGUGAACCAUCGACUUUUAGAAUGCAUGUUGCACCCGAAGCUAUUAUGCCAAGGGCACUUCUGACUAGGCAUCA
Molecule: ribosomal RNA, 156 nt
Filed under: Solanum tuberosum (potato)
Lineage: Eukaryota; Viridiplantae; Streptophyta; Magnoliopsida; Solanales; Solanaceae
Description: rRNA 5_8S_rRNA
Rfam family: 5.8S ribosomal RNA
About the family: 5.8S ribosomal RNA (5.8S rRNA) is a component of the large subunit of the eukaryotic ribosome. It is transcribed by RNA polymerase I as part of the 45S precursor that also contains 18S and 28S rRNA.
Source: RNAcentral